This is a long non-coding RNA of Chanos chanos (milkfish), 571 nucleotides long. RefSeq lists it as uncharacterized. The transcript has 3 exons. The record is from RefSeq and is a predicted model, not a curated record. Lineage: Eukaryota; Metazoa; Chordata; Actinopteri; Gonorynchiformes; Chanidae.
UCUCUUGCACAUGCAAACACAGGAGCACACAGAGGAGACACGUACACGCACACACACAGAAACGCCAUAGAACAUGUCGGACUCAGAGACUGCCGCCCCAGCUGAGACCCCCGUCCCUGCCGCCUGCGAAGCCAUCAAGGCAGACCUGGACAAAUGUGUAAAGGAGAAUGGGGAGGGUGCGUGUAAAGAGCUGAUGGAGGCGUUUGCUGCUUGUGUGAAGAGCGCUGCAGAGGGGUCAUGAAGAAGGAGCUCUUCUCAAAGGAAAUGUCUACUGCACUGAGUCCUCCACCUUCCCAGCAUUCCCUUCAGUACAUGGCACUGGACUGUCUGAUUCAGAUUCUGAUGGGGGUUUGGUGGUGCAAACCAUAUGUUCCCCUUUGCCCUCCCCGAACCAGCUCCUCUGUAAAGCCUGAUGGAUUCCUCCGACCACGCCCCCCCCCCCCGCCCCCCUCCCCAGGCGGCUGAUCGCAUUGCUCUGUAGACAGUUCUGGAAAGGGUUUUACGUCAUUUUGUCCGCUUGAAAUGCUUACAUGGAAAAUGAAAUAAAAUUUAAAGAGUUGGUACUACCUGA